RNAcentral lists this ribosomal RNA (397 nucleotides) under uncultured bacterium. Its description in RNAcentral is "partial 16S ribosomal RNA". It matches the Rfam family "Bacterial small subunit ribosomal RNA", at positions 338 to 733 of the family's 1533-position model. The record is from RNAcentral.
CCUACGGGUGGCAGCAGUGAGGAAUAUUGGUCAAUGGCCGGAAGUCUGAACCAGCCAAGCCGCGUGCAGGACGAAGGUUCCAAGCGUUGUAAACUGCUUUUGUCCAGGGGCAAACUCAGGCACGAGAGCCUGUCUGAGGGUACCUGAAGAAAAAGCAUCGGCUAACUCCGUGCCAGCAGCCGCGGUAAUCGGGAGGAUGCAAGCGUUAUCCGGAUUUAUUGGGUUUAAGGGGUGCGAGGGCGGUCUGUUAAGUCAGCGGUAAAAGCCGGGGGCUAAACCCCGGAUUGCCGUUGAAACUGGCAGGCUAGAGAGUAAGUGCGGUAUGCGGAAUGCGUGGUGUAGCGGUGAAAUGCUUAGAGAUCGUGCAGAACUCCGAUUGCGAAGGCAGCAUACCGGC